AACGAACGCUGGCGGCAUGCCUAACACAUGCAAGUCGAACGAGACCUUCGGGUCUAGUGGCGCACGGGUGCGUAACGCGUGGGAACCUGCCCUUAGGUUCGGAAUAACUCCCCGAAAGGGGUGCUAAUACCGGAUAAUGUCUUCGGACCAAAGAUUUAUCGCCUUUGGAUGGGCCCGCGUUGGAGUAGCUAGUUGGUAGGGUAAAAGCCUACCAAGGCGACGAUCCAUAGCUGGUCUGAGAGGAUGAUCAGCCACACUGGGACUGAGACACGGCCCAGACUCCUACGGGAGGCAGCAGUGGGGAAUAUUGGACAAUGGGCGAAAGCCUGAUCCAGCAAUGCCGCGUGAGUGAUGAAGGCCUUAGGGUUGUAAAGCUCUUUUACCCGGGAUGAUAAUGACAGUACCGGGAGAAUAAGCUCCGGCUAACUCCGUG
Molecule: ribosomal RNA, 433 nt
Filed under: uncultured bacterium
Lineage: Bacteria
Description: partial 16S ribosomal RNA
Rfam family: Bacterial small subunit ribosomal RNA
Source: RNAcentral